This 451-nucleotide ribosomal RNA is filed under the name uncultured bacterium. RNAcentral describes it as "partial 16S ribosomal RNA". It matches the Rfam family "Bacterial small subunit ribosomal RNA", at positions 354 to 796 of the family's 1533-position model. The record is from RNAcentral.
GUGGGGAAUAUUGGACAAUGGGGGGAACCCUGAUCCAGCCAUGCCGCGUGUGUGAAGAAGGCCUUUUGGUUGUAAAGCACUUUAAGCGAGGAGGAGGCUACCGAGAUUAAUACUCUUGGAUAGUGGACGUUACUCGCAGAAUAAGCACCGGCUAACUCUGUGCCAGCGGCCGCGGUAAUACAGAGGGUGCAAGCGUUAAUCGGAUUUACUGGGCGUAAAGCGCGCGUAGGUGGCCAAUUAAGUCAAAUGUGAAAUCCCCGAGCUUAACUUGGGAAUUGCAUUCGAUACUGGUUGGCUAGAGUAUGGGAGAGGAUGGUAGAAUUCCAGGUGUAGCGGUGAAAUGCGUAGAGAUCUGGAGGAAUACCGAUGGCGAAGGCAGCCAUCUGGCCUAAUACUGACACUGAGGUGCGAAAGCAUGGGGAGCAAACAGGAUUAGAUACCCCGGUAGUCC